GCCUGGGCCCCCUCCUGCUCCGGUAAGGCGUGGGUUUCGAUGGGAGGCACAGAGAGAGAGAGCGGGAAUAGGCGCAGGCGGAGGCCAGAGUUCUGCUGUAGAGUGGGGGUAGUCCAAGACCGAGCCUUGUGGAAGGUUGGGGUGCAGCCGGGUCCGGAAUCCCAGGCGGCUCCCCUGCACUGCUGGGCUUUGCAAUUCAGCGGCUGUUGCCAUUGUCCCCCCGUACUUUCUUGACCUGGAAGUUUGUCCCAAGCGCAGCGCACAUCUUUGGAAGGGGAGGGGGCUCUUAGAUGCAGAAUCUCCCUCCUCCCGUCCCUCUCUCUGUGCCCCCUCCCCCAAUCCAUCCAAAGUCCACAGGGUCCGGGUCCUGGGCGAGCUGAGUGUCUGUCUCCCGCAGAGCACUCUCGCAAAGUUGAUUCGGGCGGUUUCCUGAUGGGGGCGGGGAGACCGGAGGCGCGGCGCCGGCGCGGGGGAAGGAGUGGACCGGGAAGCGCCUCGGGUUCCAGAAUGACGCUCGGCCCAUGGACAGAGCCUGCCCAGUCACUCUCGGCUGCUAUUGAUCCCGAGGAUGAUGGCCGCCCCUAGCCAUUUCCCUCCUCUCUCUUCGGUUCCAGAACAGCCCAAGGAGCAGAAAAGAGUGACAAGGCCGUGAAAGGAGGCGCCUGGGGCGUAGCCGGCUCUAGGAGGUUACCCCAUGCGGAGUACACACCCUGCUACACCCAUCCCGGAGGAGGGAGGAAAUAGCCAGCCCGGAGCACCCCUGGACUCUGCCGGUCCCAGAGGCCACGCAAACUCCGCCCAGACUCGGUGAGGCCGCGGUAAUGCCACGCAGGGAACUGCGUGGAUAAGGUCGCUCGGAUCUGAGCGCCAAGGUCUCCCGCCUCUCCUUCCCGUCUAGUUCUCUCCGGACUCAAAUUGCCUUAAUCUCACCCAUCACUCUGUCAUGGAAAUGAUCUACUCGUGUGCAGUACUUUACAGCUUGUAUCACGGUCUCCCCUGAACCGUAUAGCAAGAGGGUGGUGGGGGGUGGAAGAGAAGGGUACCAUCUCCACUUUCCCGGCCAGGAGGCCCAAGUUAGGAGGCUUGUCCGAGAUCCCUAGGUCAGCGCACUAUUUAAGGUGAGAAGUUGGGUGGAGAGCUUGGCACCUUGCUCCAGUGUGCACUUUGCGCCUGGCCAUGUUUUAUAAGCAAGGGGGGCUUGGGCUGUUUAAGGGGGAGCAGGGACCGCAGGGCCAGGAAAGGGCAGCAUCCGGCAGGCCGGGGCGUCACGGUGUGUGCCUGGCCUGGGUAAACAACUCCGGCUUCCCACGAGCGCUGGAGGGACCCUGGGCAUGGGGCAGGGGCGUGGGGGAGGGGGGGCAGGGGCGUGGGGUGGGGCAGGGAGCGGGUGGAACAGCGAGGUCAAGCGUGGAGAUUCCAGUUGCGAGUCAGCUCCGCGCCGCGGAGCAAAGACAGGACGUGGAUAAUCUUGGGAGCGAGACGCUGAGCUGAAGAACAGAAAAGAGAGAUAGAGGCAGAAGUGAGGAGAGAGGGACAGGAAAAGAAAAUAAAGGCAGAAAACCAGAGAAAAGAUGAGACGGAGUGCGGAAAAGCAGGCGGGGAUAAAGAAAGGAAAGAUCUGUCGGGGAAAUGCGGGGAGAAGUGGAGGAAAAGAAACAGAAAAUAGACCCAGAGAGAGACCCUGCCACGAAGAAGGCCGCGGGGACGGGCGCGGAGCCGAGGGCCCUGCAGGCACGGAGGGGGCGUCCCGCGGGUCUGGGGGUGUGCGGCUUUGGGACAGGCGAGUGCGUGCUGAGAGAAGGAGGCAGCGUGUUUUGUGGGAGACUCUGCGCCCGUGGAAAAGCGGCUCUGGGCAGGAAUCCAACAAAUAAAUAAAACGUCUAAGACGGCGUGACAACAAUGUGUAUUUGGGUGCGUGCCCGUGUUCCUCUGUCUGAACACAGUCACACCCAGUAAGGAAGACAAACGGGGCUCGUGCCUCACAGUAAUUAAUCCUCUCACUAAUUGACUCUCUCCCCUUACCUAAUGGCGGUGGUCACUGCCGAUAUCUGGAGAGACAUCAAGUAGGGGGAGACAGAGAGAGAGAACCCCAAAGCUAACGACCUUUGGGACUGAGAUUGAGUUUUUUCUGGACUUGGCAGCUCUAAGCCCCUGCCCCCACCUCCACUUUUGGGCAGAGUUCCAUAGAUAUUGCUGCCUUCCUUCCCCCUCCAGGUUUUGGGCAGCAUUAAUAAAGAUCUCCUCAGAUUAGGGUGAUGUGGUUACACACACUGAAGCCCUUCUACCGCCCUCCACCUUGGGAGAUCAGUUUCAGAGGCUGAAAGCCACCCCUGUCCCUGGGACAUUUCUUACCUCCCUGCAAUACCAGCUCCCCCUCCCAUGUUGUUCCCCCAGGGGCCCAGACCCUGCACCCUCUUCUUUCAGGCAGUACUAACUCUUCCAAGGACCUGGGCGGUGUCCCGCAGUCCCCUAAGGCAGGUGAGGUUUUGAACGGGCUGAGAAGCAGUCUGGGGUUGAUGGAAGGAGAGCGGUGGGAGGUCAGGGCAAGGAUGGGGAGAGGCUUCCAGAGACAACCUUCCUCAGACUUGGGUUGAGAGACACAGAGGCGCAGAGAGGCGCAGUUGCCACCAGGCAAGAGAGAGGCCUCUAGGGACAAAGGAGGGAAAGGUGGGCUCUAUGCACUGUGGGAAGGAGCGCCAAGUGUGUGAGAGGCAGGAAGGUGGUCAUGUCUCUGUGACUGUGAGGGUGACAGUUCUGGUCUGUCUGUGUGAGCAUGGGGAAGCCCCCUAUGUUCCCUCACAGCACCCUCAGUUCUCAGACUGGGGAGAAGAGGCAGGGGACUGGUCUGGGACUUGAUGGUCCCCUUGGUAGCUGAGUUGGCUGGAAGGGGUCCAACACCCACAGUCUGUCUGGUAAUGCAGCUUUGAGGCUUAGGUUUGGGAGGUGAAUGUCAACUCUCACCCCUGUGAGGUGGCAGCUUUGCUCUGUUGGCCUCCUCAGAGGCUAAAUAAAGAAAUGCUGAGAUCUAUAAACCACCCAGCCCAGAGAGAAAAAGGAGGGAGGAAGGGCAGCUCCCUAGAAAAAAAUCCACCCCCUCCCCACCACUAAACACAUUUUUAAUUGUCCCUUGGGAACAUUUGUACAUUUGACCAAAGCAAAUCUCAAAGCAGCAGCAGCAAAAUGAGUCAGAGGGGCUGGUGGUCCAGAGAGAGCUGGGGAUUGGAGAUGGGGAGGUGAGGAGAGGUGGCAGGCAUGUUUGGGAAGGUGAGAAACUUGGCUCCUUUCCCACCAUCUCUGUCAAGCUUUAGAAAGAAAGUGAGCAGGAGAAAUAAAGUUCCAGGGGAAAGAAAGAGAAGGGCAUAUAAAAGGCAAAUCCAACCCAGAAAGGAAAGAAAGUGAAGAAGAAAGAAAAAGGCAGGGAGUGGGGAGAGACUAUAAUAAAAGAGGGUGAAGGCGGCCCCAGGAGGCUGGGCCUCGUCCCAAACCAUCCGUCUUCAUUGUCUCCGUGUGUGCAAAGGCAACUCUGGCAUAAGGAAAACCCACUAUUGGAGCCGAGGCUUUAUUUUAUAUCCUAUACAUCAGGAGGGAGGCAAAGCUUUAUUUUCGCCAAGAGACAGAUAUUUUAUUUCUCUCUUACGGUUUUAUGUGUGAGAGAUGUCAGGUUGCCACAAUGGAUGGCUAAUGCAUAGGCAAGAGGAAGCCGUGUUGGCAUGCUGUGUGUCAUGGGGUCUUGGGGGGGUGAGCGGGCCUGGGAUUUAGGGCUGAUGAGACACUCUGGGGGAUUUGUGCUAAAACAUCUCUCUUCAUAAAUCCAGAAGCAUGGUCAGCUCAACAGGGAGAAGAAGGAGUUUUAGAGGGAAAAGAGUUGGGCUUAGUAAUAAAUGAAUACACAAAGGAACCGCUUACCUUCCAACAGGCUCGGGCAACAGGGGCACGACAGCCCCAUGGAAAUGCAGACACCCAUGUCCACGCACACAAGCGCCAUUCACAGGGAAGUAUUUUCCUGACACGAAAUCCAAUGUCAGUUUCCUUUCCUUUCCCCGUUUUAUAUUUUUCCACCCCCCUUCACCAGAAAUCUUUUUUAACCUCCUCAGAGCCUUGGGGGAAAAGAGCCAUUAAUUUGCAAAUCAUCUGAUCUGUGAAAGGAUCAAGAUGCCUGGUUUUCACUGCUAAAUCCAACGUCUUGAGUGGACACAGAGGCACACACAAGCCCGUCAUGCUGCCAACCCUUGGGAGCAUAGGUGCCAGAUCUGAAGCCAAGAAAAGACUCCCUCUCCUCCCGGGACCUGCAGCUGAAUUAAGCCUUAGAUUCCAAACUGCAUAAUGUUCAUAUUUUUAAACCUGGAGAGAAGUGGAGAGAUGAAGGGGGACAAAAAGAGGGGGAACUUUGUUAAUUAACGUGUUCCAUUCAGGACUUAGACUAAUUGUCUUCCCCACUUCCAGCCGCCCCCCAACCCAAGCCAUUUCUUACAGGAGUUGCUUUUAUUCAUUCUCAUGUUCUACUUUUCUCAUUUUUGGAUUAAUAUCUACUUGUUUAAUAUCUACUGUGGCGCAAAAACGUGACCACGCUCUUUCUUUUCAGAGGGUUGGAAGCAGCACAGGAUUCCUAGACAAGGAGCUUGGAGACUUGGCUACACUGUCCCUGGCCAUUGGGGAAGACGUUUACCCUUUCCGGGCCUCAGUUUUCUCAUCUGUAACAUGAGGUGAUUCGGCUAAAUGAUUACUGAGGUCCCUUCCAGCUCCGACCUCCUCUGGCCGAAUGAGAUAAUGUGUGAAAACACUUUGUGAACACUAACACCAGACAGAUGCCAGGGAUCAUUAUUGCAAUUCUAAUCAAUCCUCUUUUCUCCACAUGGAUCUUGGCUGUUUAGUGCCAGCAAGCAGGCUAAAGGGGGCUGAAAGCAAGAAAGCUUAGCGGACAUGGAAAAGCUCUGUGCAGUGGGAGGAAAAAAAAAAAAAACCCUGCAUCUCCAGAAACAUUGUGUCUCUGUGUGCCCCCUGAGGCCUAGUGGGAAGGGUUGGGGAAGAGGAGGCCUGACUUGGUAUGACCCAUUUUGGUCUACAUGGCGGCAGAGAGUGUAUUUCUUCAAAAGCAUUGUUGGUCUCCAAGUGACUGACAUGGGAACCUGAUGGGAAGGCGAUUUGCAAUUGUUUUUUUCCAGGAAGAAAGAAAGAGCAAGGUGUAGCUGAUUAGCAAGUUAAUUAUUUCAGUACCCCAAGGGUUCCAGUGUGGUGGUAAGUUGUCCAGCCCUGGUGUAAUUUCACAGUCUGUGCAUUUCCUGGCGAGCACCUGGGGUGCCCGAGUCUGUCUCUUUCUCCUUCCACCUGCCUUGUGUCUUCCUGACACACCUGGGGAGAUGAGCAGGGGCUGGGGAGGUUGAUGGUACAAGGUACACAUUCGGCUUAGGCUGCGGGUGGGGGCCACGCCAAGAACAGGGUGGAGGAAGCCCAACUGAUGCCAUCUACCUCCGCUGAGUGUUUAAUUAUCUGGCCCUUUCUUCUUUAAAAAAAAAUCUUUUGUUUAAUAAAUAUUAAUGAGGCGGGUUAUCGGAAAGUGUAGUUGCCAUGAGGUUAUUUCCCCAGCCUUAGCAUGGAAAGAAACUGGGUUUGAGGAGCCUUUCGGCCCCUCACCGCCUUCUACCCCCACCAGCUCUCCCGUGCUCACGUUCCGCAGCAGCUCUUCCGGUCUCACUUCAAGAUUUGAUUUCCCCUUGGGGGAGGGUAGGGGAGGGAAGAUCAUGUGGUCAAAUGGACACUUCCCCUCGGAGAGAUAAGUUGGAGAUGUGAACAUUAGCCUCAAGAAUUAACAGCUUCUGCCGCUCUCUGCUCUCGGGGCUGAGAGGGCCAGCCCCCCGCUGCUCCUUCCGCGAUGGAUGAAGGGAGGGCUCUACAGUUUACUUAAGAGUGGUCCCAUCUGCUCAGACUGGCCUUUCAUAAGGGGAGGGAUUUAUGCAGUGUCCUUGUGCACAGACCUGGGAUUUGGCUGAAAACCUUGGGCCUCUGAGAAUAUUACUGAACGCUAAAACGUUCAGCCAUGGAGAUGAUUCAUGAUUUUGUCUGCAUGGACAGUGUGUGUGUGUGUGUGUGUGUGUGUGUGUGUGUGUGUGUUUGUUUGGGGUUGCACGCACAGUGAUGAUGGGUGCUAUUCACCGUUCUCACUUUGAAUCCAAAUGUUAGGAAACUUUUUUUCCUUCUGUAUUCACUCAGGAGACAGGCCCUGGCACCAGGCUCUGGAGACCCCACUUCCUGACUCCAGCGGUGCGAAGAUGAUACAAUACUUUCUGGUGCUGACAUUCAGCUGUCCCCCAAACAGGUUGGCUGAUAGCCCUGCCCGUCCUUGAAGAGGGGCCGAGGGCUGUCUAAAAAGACAGUUCUGAUGACUGCUUCGUUGCUAGUGGCAGAGGAUUUGGGGCACAGGGGUGGAGUUAAGUCCAAUUGCUGUUUAAAUUGGACUUGGCCUCCUUUAUUUUACAGUCCUAAGGGGUCUCCAUAGGAGAAAAAGUAGCGAGAGCAACUUAGAACACAGGAAAGCAAGCAUAGGGAAGAGUUUCUUGUCUCAAUCUUGGUACUGCCGUGCCAAAAUGAAGCCCAGGGAUGGUUAAAAACGGAUCCUAGGGACCGGGCACCUUGGCUCAGGCCUGUAAUCCCAGCACUUUGGGAGAUCAAGAUGGGAGGAUUGCUUGAGGCUAGGAGUUCGAGACCAGCCUGGCCAACAUAGUGAGACCUCAUCUCCAAAAAUAAAAACUUAAAAAAAAAUUUAAAAAACAAAAACAAAAAUACAGAUCCUAGGGAACAGAGCUUUGAGGUUCCCUGUGGGAUCUUGGCCUGACUCUUGGGAGAUGAAGAAGUCCUUGGCAAGUUUGAAAAGAUCUACAAGUGCCAUCUAUUCAGGGGACUAAAUGUGAUUUCUUUUCACCGCCCAGUGGCUGGUAAGGAAGGAAGCAUUUUGCAUUUUCAGCUUGUAGGAUGGUUAUUGGUGGUCCUACCAUCUUGCUCAUGUUCAAGUUUGGUCGUGUAGAUGAAGACCCCAGCUUCCCAGCUCUUAGUUUUUCUUUUCCCUCAGGCCAUUCAUAAUUUAGCUAACAUUCUAGUCCAUUGACCAGCAUGCAUUUUGAAAGGUGAGCUGGCAAGCCUGUAACUGUGUGCAAGGUUGUUCUCAUUUAGGCUCCAGGAAGGAUAUAGUUUCCCCAUAAGAAAGAAAAGUGGGCGAGAGGCUGAGGUGGGAGGUCGCUUGAGUCCGGGAGGCAAAGAUUGCAGUGAGCUGAGAACCAUGCCACUCACUGCCUUCCAGCUUGGGUGACAGAGUGAGACCCCAUCUCGAAAAAAAAGAAAAAAAAGAAAAAGAAAGAAAGAAAAAAAUAAAUAAAACAAGGAACUAUUUAUAUUAAUCUUUUAAUGAAGGAUUUACCAAUCUGAUAAGUACAAAGCUCCUUUUCCUCCUUCUGAAUGAGUAACUAUGUCAGUCAAUGUUGAGGGUCUGCAGAACCUAUACAAAAAUGCUUUCUUUGGUCUCUCAGUUUUAACACAUGCUGGGGCUUGGGCCUGCCUCUGACAGACUGGGGAGGAGUAGACACAUUCCAGAGACCAGGUCUUGGAGUGUUAUCUCUUCCCCCACCUCAAAUCCUCACCCUCCACUUUAUCUGUCUUUAGCACGAAUGCAGAGACCUCCUAGGGAAGUGUGAAGGGAUGGGUUUUCGUCAGGUUUGGGGAAGGAAGGGGAAUAAGAUGAGCCCCAAAGAAAGAUGGGGGUCAUUUGGAAUUUUUAGAUGACACUCUUUUGUUAUACUUUUCUUGUGUUGUGUAUUAUGUCCUACAAAUCGUGCAUUUGUUACAGUAAGCCACAGUGUGUAUGUGUGUUUGCCAAGUGCUACUUGGCCAAAACAGUGUUAAAUAAAAUUGUAAGAAAUGCUACCAGGGCCUUGCAUGGGU
This 7929-nucleotide long non-coding RNA is filed under the name Pan troglodytes (chimpanzee). RNAcentral's name for it is "long non-coding RNA NONPTRT006745". The record is from RNAcentral. Lineage: Eukaryota; Metazoa; Chordata; Mammalia; Primates; Hominidae.